This 490-nucleotide ribosomal RNA is filed under the name uncultured bacterium. Its description in RNAcentral is "partial 16S ribosomal RNA". It matches the Rfam family "Bacterial small subunit ribosomal RNA", at positions 30 to 507 of the family's 1533-position model. The record is from RNAcentral.
AUUGAACGCUGGCGGCAGGCUUAACACAUGCAAGUCGAGCGGUAGCACAAGAGAGCUUGCUCUCUGGGUGACGAGCGGCGGACGGGUGAGUAAUGUCUGGGAAACUGCCUGAUGGAGGGGGAUAACUACUGGAAACGGUAGCUAAUACCGCAUAACGUCGCAAGACCAAAGAGGGGGACCUUCGGGCCUCUUGCCAUCAGAUGUGCCCAGAUGGGAUUAGCUAGUAGGUGGGGUAAUGGCUCACCUAGGCGACGAUCCCUAGCUGGUCUGAGAGGAUGACCAGCCACACUGGAACUGAGACACGGUCCAGACUCCUACGGGAGGCAGCAGUGGGGAAUAUUGCACAAUGGGCGCAAGCCUGAUGCAGCCAUGCCGCGUGUGUGAAGAAGGCCUUCGGGUUGUAAAGCACUUUCAGCGAGGAGGAAGGUGGUGAACUUAAUACGUUCACCAAUUGACGUUACUCGCAGAAGAAGCACCGGCUAACUCCGUG